UAUAAUCUUCGUCAUAUCACGCAUUAAAUAUCACUAGAUGGACAUUAUGAUUAGAAAAUACUGUAAAUUCUCGAUAAACAACCCAAAACUCCACAGACUACAUAUUUCCUUGUUACCGUGCAUUGCUUUUUAUUCAACAUAUGAGUUGUUAGAAAAUCAGAAUUUGAUAUUUUCUUUAGGUUUUGUGAUGAUCGUUCCAUCACUAUUUAUACUUGGUAAGUCG
RNAcentral lists this unclassified non-coding RNA (223 nucleotides) under Moritella viscosa. Its description in RNAcentral is "putative sRNA". The record is from RNAcentral. Lineage: Bacteria; Pseudomonadati; Pseudomonadota; Gammaproteobacteria; Alteromonadales; Moritellaceae.